RNAcentral lists this ribosomal RNA (305 nucleotides) under uncultured bacterium. RNAcentral describes it as "bacterial SSU rRNA". It matches the Rfam family "Bacterial small subunit ribosomal RNA", at positions 338 to 658 of the family's 1533-position model. The record is from RNAcentral.
CCUACGGGGGGCAGCAGUGGGGAAUAUUGGGCAAUGGGCGCAAGCCUGACCCAGCAACGCCGCGUGAAGGAAGAAGGCUUUCGGGUUGUAAACUUCUUUUAAGGGGGACGAACAAAUGACGGUACCCCUUGAAUAAGCCACGGCUAACUACGUGCCAGCAGCCGCGGUAAUACGUAGGUGGCAAGCGUUAUCCGGAUUUAUUGGGUGUAAAGGGCGUGUAGGCGGGAGCGCAAGUCAGAUGUGAAAACUCAGGGCUCAACCCUGAGCCUGCAUUUGAAACUGUGUUUCUUGAGUGCUGGAGAGGC